CCUACGGGUGGCAGCAGUGGGGAAUAUUGCACAAUGGGGGGAACCCUGAUGCAGCGACGCCGCGUGAGUGAAGAAGUAUUUCUGUAUGUAAAGCUCUAUCAGCAGGGAAGAAAAUGACGGUACCUGACUAAGAAGCCCCGGCUAACUACGUGCCAGCAGCCGCGGUAAUACGUAGGGGGCAAGCGUUAUCCGGAUUUACUGGGUGUAAAGGGAGCGUAGACGGUUGUGCAAGUCUGAAGUGAAAGCCCCGGGCUCAACCCUGGGACUGCUUUGGAAACUGUGCAGCUGGAGUGCAGGUGAGGUAAGCGGAAUUCCUAGUGUAGCGGUGAAAUGCGUAGAUAUUAGGAGGAACACCAGUGGCGAAGGCGGCUUACUGGACUGUACCUGACGUUGAGGCUC
This 399-nucleotide ribosomal RNA is filed under the name uncultured bacterium. RNAcentral describes it as "partial 16S ribosomal RNA". It matches the Rfam family "Bacterial small subunit ribosomal RNA", at positions 338 to 754 of the family's 1533-position model. The record is from RNAcentral.